RNAcentral lists this ribosomal RNA (262 nucleotides) under uncultured bacterium. Its description in RNAcentral is "partial 16S ribosomal RNA". It matches the Rfam family "Bacterial small subunit ribosomal RNA", at positions 335 to 614 of the family's 1533-position model. The record is from RNAcentral.
AGUCCUACGGGAGGCAGCAGUGGGGGAUAUUGCACAAUGGGGGGAACCCUGAUGCAGCGACGCCGCGUGAGUGAAGAAGUAUUUCGGUAUGUAAAGCUCUGUUAGCAGGGAAGAAAAUGACGGUACCUGACCAAGAAGCCCCGGCUAACUACGUGCCAGCAGCCGCGGUAAUACGUAGGGGGCAAGCGUUAUCCGGAUUUACUGGGUGUAAAGGGAGCGUAGACGGCAGGGCAAGUCUGGAGUGAAAGGCGGGGGCUCAACC